UUCCCCCUUAGAUUUUUUUAUUAAUUAUUGAGUAGUCCCCCCUAGAAUGGAACGUUGCUACUCGGCCGAGGAGGCGUACGCCAUCCUGGCAGGCAGUGAUAGUGACACUCUGCAAGACAGUGACACUAUCACUGCCUCUGACAUUGAGGCUAUGACUGACUCCUCUAGUGAUGAUGCCCCACCACCACCAACAAGAGGACGCUCCGCAAGCCCAAUGCCAGAUGGAGACUGGGUGCCCCCAAACCUGACGGCCCCAGAUAUUCCCCCAUUUACGGC
Pelobates cultripes (western spadefoot toad) is the source of this 276-nucleotide non-coding RNA. The record is from the annotation of a GenBank genome assembly. Lineage: Eukaryota; Metazoa; Chordata; Amphibia; Anura; Pelobatidae.